UGUAUAAAACCAUGUUUGAUGACAGCUGUCAAUUUUUUAAGUUUAAAUUUCACGUGACCUUGUACUACGUUUUAUAAAUAACUUUAAAAAGUUAAAAAGCGUUUAUAAAAUUUUAUAAAAAUGGUUGGCUUUGAUUUUGGAGAUUUUUUAGCACUUGUAAUGGGAUUAUUUUUAACAACAAUCGGAGCAUUAGCUUGUUUAGGAGCAUAUGCCAGAAGAUUAGCUCUAAUACAACGCAUUUAAAAUGAUAUAUAAAGUAGCGUUGAAAGAAUAUCCCAAAAUCUAAUUUUGUACCAGAAUGAUAUAUUUAAUAAAAUUAUUAUAUUAAAA
Chrysoperla carnea is the source of this 330-nucleotide long non-coding RNA. RefSeq lists it as uncharacterized. Lineage: Eukaryota; Metazoa; Arthropoda; Insecta; Neuroptera; Chrysopidae. The transcript is spliced from 2 exons. The record is from RefSeq and is a predicted model, not a curated record.